AUGCCUGGGAAUAUGCCUUGAUGUGGGGGAUAACUAUUGGAAACGAUAGCUAAUACCGCAUAAUGCCUACGGGCCAAAGAGGGGGAUCUUCGGACCUCUCGCGUCAAGAUUAGCCCAGGUGGGAUUAGCUAGUUGGUGGGGUAAAGGCUCACCAAGGCGACGAUCCCUAGCUGGUCUGAGAGGAUGAUCAGCCACACUGGAACUGAGACACGGUCCAGACUCCUACGGGAGGCAGCAGUGGGGAAUAUUGCACAAUGGGGGAAACCCUGAUGCAGCCAUGCCGCGUGUAUGAAGAAGGCCUUCGGGUUGUAAAGUACUUUCAGCAGUGAGGAAGGUGGUAAUGUUAAUAGCAUUAUCAUUUGACGUUAGCUGCAGAAGAAGCACCGGCUAACUCCGUGCCAGCAGCCGCGGUAAUACGGAGGGUGCGAGCGUUAAUCGGAAUUACUGGGCGUAAAGCGCAUGCAGGCGGUCUGUUAAGCAAGAUGUGAAAGCCCGGGGCUCAACCUCGGAACAGCAUUUUGAACUGGCAGACUAGAGUCUUGUAGAGGGGGGUAGAAUUUCAGGUGUAGCGGUGAAAUGCGUAGAGAUCUGAAGGAAUACCGGUGGCGAAGGCGGCCCCCUGGACAAAGACUGACGCUCAGAUGCGAAAGCGUGGGGAGCAAACAGGAUUAGAUACCCUGGUAGUCCACGCCGUAAACGAUGUCUACUUGGAAGGUUGGUGUCUUGAACACUGGCUUUCGGAGCUAACGCGUUAAGUAGACCGCCUGGGGAGUACGGUCGCAAGAUUAAAACUCAAAUGAAUUGACGGGGGCCCGCACAAGCGGUGGAGCAUGUGGUUUAAUUCGAUGCAACGCGAAGAACCUUACCUACUCUUGACAUCCAGAGAAUUCGCUAGAGAUAGCUUAGUGCCUUCGGGAACUCUGAGACAGGUGCUGCAUGGCUGUCGUCAGCUCGUGUUGUGAAAUGUUGGGUUAAGUCCCGCAACGAGCGCAACCCUUAUCCUUGUUUGC
Molecule: ribosomal RNA, 1010 nt
Filed under: Photobacterium swingsii
Lineage: Bacteria; Pseudomonadati; Pseudomonadota; Gammaproteobacteria; Vibrionales; Vibrionaceae
Description: bacterial SSU rRNA
Rfam family: Bacterial small subunit ribosomal RNA
Source: RNAcentral